UACGUAGGGUGCAGGCGUUAAUCGGAAUUACUGGGCGUAAAGCGUGCGCAGGCGGUUCUGCAAGUCAGAUGUGAAAUCCCCGGGCUUAACCUGGGAACUGCGUUUGAAACUACGGAGCUAGAGUGCGGCAGAGGGGGGUGGAAUUCCACGUGUAGCAGUGAAAUGCGUAGAUAUGUGGAGGAACACCGAUGGCGAAGGCAGCCCCCUGGGCCGACACUGACGCUCAGGCACGAAAGCGUGGGGAGCAAACAGG
RNAcentral lists this ribosomal RNA (253 nucleotides) under uncultured bacterium. RNAcentral's name for it is "partial 16S ribosomal RNA". It matches the Rfam family "Bacterial small subunit ribosomal RNA", at positions 524 to 776 of the family's 1533-position model. The record is from RNAcentral.